UACAGAAUUUCUAUUUAAAGAAGGAGGAAAAAAAAAAAAAAACCAAAUCUCUCAACUUUUACUUACAGCUCUCUUCCGCAAGGAUCAAGAGGGCUGCACUAAUUGACUGAGGGUCUCCCUAAGUUGCUGAGACUCAAACUUAUGAUCCUCCUGCUUCAGCCUCCCGAGUCACUGGAAUAACAGAGGUUUCAGUCCAUGGUCACUUGACCCCAUCAUUAGAAUCCAAUGGUGCAACAGAAUAUCAUGGUGUGAAUACAUGGCAGAGAAGAGCUGCUCAUCUCAUGGGAACUAGGAAGGAGAGAGAGGGCUGUGGUCACAGAAUACUCAUCAGGAGAACACUCGUGUGACUGAUUUCCUCCAACUAGGCCCCACCUGCUAAAAUUUCUACUGCCUCCCAACAGUGCCACAAGUUGGGGACCAAGCCCUCACCACAUGAGACUUUGGGGGAUAUUCCAGAUAUGGACCAUAAAGUGGAUGGUGUCCUGAUAAGAAAAGGGAAUACAGACACACAAAGAGGGAAGGUCCUGUGAUGAUAGGGAGAAUACCAUCAUCGAUAGGCCAAGAAGAGAGGCCUUAGAAGAAACCAAGCCUGCUGACACCUUGAUCUUGGACAUCCAGCCUCCAGAACUGUAGGAAAAUAGAUGUCUGUUGUUUAAACCACCUUGCAAACUAAUAUGGGGAGAAAAAGCUUGAGACUUUUGGGAAACCAAAAGUAGUAUUGAGAAUCCUGUUAUGUGGUGCCAAUCUUAAUUCUAUCCAAAAUUCUAGGUAGCAUUAAGUGAUUCAUCAAUAAAAUUACUUAGUACAGCUA
Long non-coding RNA from Marmota monax (woodchuck), 811 nucleotides. RefSeq lists it as uncharacterized. NCBI's taxonomy places the organism in Eukaryota, Metazoa, Chordata, Mammalia, Rodentia, Sciuridae. The transcript is spliced from 3 exons. The record is from RefSeq and is a predicted model, not a curated record.